This 28-nucleotide non-coding RNA is filed under the name Mus musculus (house mouse). Lineage: Eukaryota; Metazoa; Chordata; Mammalia; Rodentia; Muridae. The record is from RNAcentral.
UCCAAGGUGUUCCUGUCCUUUAGAGUGC